This is a small nuclear RNA of Piliocolobus tephrosceles (Ugandan red Colobus), 105 nucleotides long. The record is from RefSeq and is a predicted model, not a curated record. Lineage: Eukaryota; Metazoa; Chordata; Mammalia; Primates; Cercopithecidae.
GAAUGCUUGUGGUGCUCGCUUCAGCAACACUGGACCGAUACAGAGAAGAUGAGCAUGGCCCUGCACAAGGAUGACACAGAAAUUCAUGAAGCAUUCCAUACAAAA